Long non-coding RNA from Cygnus olor (mute swan), 628 nucleotides. RefSeq lists it as uncharacterized. NCBI's taxonomy places the organism in Eukaryota, Metazoa, Chordata, Aves, Anseriformes, Anatidae. The transcript is spliced from 3 exons. The record is from RefSeq and is a predicted model, not a curated record.
GCCUUUACCCUCUGUGACUGUGUCACAGUCAAAGCACUCUAAUGUCACUUGUUUCCCAAGAUUGUAAGUGAUUAAGUCAAUUUAUAUUUCAGAAGGACCCAUCAAAGGAACUGUCUUGGUCAUGAUGUGAUUAUCAGGAAGGCCAAAGUCUUUACUCUCUGCCCUGUGACUCCUUGAGGAUGUCACGCUGCUUCUCUGCUGAGAACUAGCUCAUUCCUUUUGUCUCGAGUUUUUUUAUUUUAUAUCCCUGCUCUGAGCCAGGAUGUGCUAAUUUGUCGCUAAUGGCCAAGGAUUAAUGUGGGGGAAAUAUAAAGCCGUGAGGUUACAUGACAGUCCUGGGGUUGGUUGUCAGAAGCCACUGUAACCUAAGUGAACAUUGCCACAGCUGUGAUCUCCAGGAGAUCUGAAGGCUCAGUAGUAAUCAUAAAGAUCUUCAGUUCGCAACUCGGGGAUGGAUUCCAGGCAGCAGGGCCAAUGUCUCACUGGUGCUGCCCUGGCCUCCUCUACUGGCAUGUUGCUGUUGGGAACCCUGCUGAAGUCACCCAAGGAUGCCUGCACUGUGGAGUCUUUGAUGUCUAAUGGUCUGGCACCAUAACUUGUGUAGGUAUAGCCUAUAAACAGAAAUUUG